Molecule: non-coding RNA, 555 nt
Organism: Pogona vitticeps (central bearded dragon)
Lineage: Eukaryota; Metazoa; Chordata; Lepidosauria; Squamata; Agamidae
Source: RefSeq, a predicted model, not a curated record
ACCCUAAUUGCAGAUAGUAUCUUCUUCCCAGAAGACUCCAGGAAGGAGAGGGAAAGACUGACCGGCAAAAUUUUUGAUCCUUGUGGCAUAGUGGGUUAAACUGCAGUACCGCAGCCAAGACUUUGCUCGGGACCUGAAUUCGGUCCUGUUGGGCUCAGGCUUGAAGUUGACUUCGCCUUCCAUCCUUCCAAGAAGAGAACACACAAAAUUUUAUCGGCCUCUGGAGCGACCAGCUGAUAACUGGACUAUUCCUGUUGGAGCUACUCAGAUGCAUCACUGUCUUGCUGUCACUGGAAAUCCCGCACGGAGGACCGAAACCCUCCUCAACGGCAGAGCUUAACUGAUUUAAACAGAGCACGCUGCACCAUUUCCCUUUCAACUGUAGCACGGAAGGUGGAGGUGACCACUGCCACUUUCCUUCUAGACUUACUGAAAUCAACAUUAAAACAACAAGAAGCAAAACUUGUUGUUGCAAAGAAGAACAAGCCGUAGUUGCCUCCCAGCAUGUUCAUUGCGGUUAAUGAGGGUGCCACAGCGUGAGCAAAACGCAUGGGG